AUGCAACUUAGUUUAACUAGAACAGUCAACUUGCACUUGACAAGUGAGGUUCCUCAGUAGC
RNAcentral lists this transfer RNA (61 nucleotides) under Eisenia fetida (common brandling worm). Its description in RNAcentral is "tRNA-Ala". Lineage: Eukaryota; Metazoa; Annelida; Clitellata; Crassiclitellata; Lumbricidae. The record is from RNAcentral.